GGAUUGUGGCUCAGUGGUAGAGUGUUCACCUAGCACAUGUGAGGCACUGGGUUCAAACCUCAGCAUCA
Molecule: transfer RNA, 68 nt
Filed under: Marmota monax (woodchuck)
Lineage: Eukaryota; Metazoa; Chordata; Mammalia; Rodentia; Sciuridae
Description: tRNA.Ala
Source: RNAcentral